AAGCUGGAUGCCGUAUAAGGA
Molecule: non-coding RNA, 21 nt
Filed under: Arabidopsis thaliana (thale cress)
Lineage: Eukaryota; Viridiplantae; Streptophyta; Magnoliopsida; Brassicales; Brassicaceae
Source: RNAcentral